GCUAAGGAAACAGCCUCACUCAGCAAGGGUCACCUUUGGAAACAACGGCAAGACUUCAAAGCAGAUCAAUAGAGAAAUACCAAGACCUGAACUUCCUAGCAAAUGCUCUCUUCUAUUUUAAAUAAUUUGAAGACCUUUUGGUGUACUCAAGUCACAAAGGAUAUUUGGUGGUGGACCGUGGACAAUCCAGACCAAACCUCCAGAGGGAAGGCAACCAAGGUACCAUGUGAAGGCCUGGGCAUAUAACAUGAAACAAGAAAGAUAAGGCCCGUGCUUACAUAGAACUUGGUGAAGAAUCUAGACCAUAACAAGCACACAGAGAAAACGUAUCACAAAUUGUGCUAAAGUUCUGUAAAGGGAUUAAGAUGAAGUGUCACAAGACUGAAUUAGACAGAGUGCCCUUGAAAGAGUGCCAAUUUUUAGAAUGGAGGGUGUAGAUCCAUCCUUUGCAACUGGUGAGGACCUCCUCAGUAAGGCACUGAGCCAGGAGUCUAUACAGCCAUGCCAGCAGGGAGCACUGUCUUUCAUUGUCUGAUGUUUAUUGCAAACCUGUUCUUUUCAGCUUUUUGUUGUUUCAGCCUAGUCCAAAGACGUUUACAUCCUGGAAGAGAACUUGCUGGCUUUUCACCUCAGCAUGUAUGGGCCAAACUAAUAUAACAAGAAGUCUUGAGAGGAGUCAGCGGCCAAGCUCCAUGUCUUGCAGCCAAACAAUGCUGUGGGAUGGAAGGUGGGAUGUCAUGUGUCUGGUUUACAGCACUCACGUAUCAGUUGGCAGUUAACGGAAGUGCUACUGAUUGUAACAGUGGAAGCAAUUUGAAAUGAAAUACAACACUUAAAGCAAAUGAAACGGAAGUGAAUGCCAGCAGUAAAUGGCAAGAAGAAAUCCAGUUCAGUGUGUUCCUCAGAAAUCUUGCCUCUUGGGACUAAAUGCUGCAAAUGUAACUCUUAUCCUUGUUUUUCAAGUUUUACCAUCUCAAAGCUAUCCACUUUAUAUUAAAUUAGUUCUGUUAUAUUAUGUCAAUUUGUAUUCUUAAGAGCACAAGUUUGGCCUCAAAUAGACCUGAGCUGAGAUCCAAUUCUUUAAUUUAUCUGUGUUGUUUUCUUUUUCCUUAGCUUUAAAGUGGAAAAAAUGCUACUUACAUUUUAUUUAUGAAGGUUAAAGAUAAAGUGUCUGAUAUGGGACCUAUCAUAUGUGGUAGGCACUUAGUACAUGGUAGCAAUUAUGAUUAUUAUAUCUGAUAUUAGCAUUAUUAUUAUGAUUUGUUUUAAUCUUCAAAGUAUCAACUGUUUCUAUUACAUUUGUGGUAAAUACUCCUAAACAGAGUUUUUAAGUUCAAGUGUCCAAAGUUGUUAGAAACAAAGAUAUUUGACAAUAACAUAAUCAUAUCACAUGACCUCAUGAUUUAACCACCUCCCAAAGUUGCCACCUCCUAAUAUUAUCACCUUGGGGGUGAGGUUUCAACAUAUGAAUUUUAGAGGAACAUAAACAUUCAGACCAUAGCAAUAAUGAAGAUAAAGAGUUUAUUCAUAGAUAAAUGUUAAGAAGUAGAUACUGUUUGUUAGGAGAAGUGUCCACAGUUAGGGAGAAGUUAGAGGUCUGGUGUCAUCUUUGAUUUUUGUGUUUCUUCCGGAACCCUGUUGCCUGGCUUCCUACACUAUUUCUUGUGUCUUUUUCUUGUAGCUAAACUUGAACAUUUUUUCCUUGAGUACCAUUUUACAAUCAACUGUGCUUUUAUGCAGUGGACUUUCACUGAAUGUCCCCUAUUGGAAAUUUUAACAACAAUUUAACAACUAUUUAUUUGAUACUUUCUGUAUAACCAAUAUUAUUGAACAUCCUAGGAACACAUACAUAAAUAAAACUUGAUCUCUGCUUUCAGAAAAGUUGAUCUAUUUGGAAAGAUAUCAAGAAAAUAAACAACCUCAACAUUAAAAAAAAAAAAAAAAAAAAAAAAAA
RNAcentral lists this long non-coding RNA (1954 nucleotides) under Homo sapiens (human). RNAcentral describes it as "long independently transcribed non-coding RNA 2223 (LINC02223)". Lineage: Eukaryota; Metazoa; Chordata; Mammalia; Primates; Hominidae. The record is from RNAcentral.